Molecule: ribosomal RNA, 374 nt
Filed under: fungal sp.
Lineage: Eukaryota; Fungi
Description: partial small subunit ribosomal RNA
Rfam family: Eukaryotic small subunit ribosomal RNA
Source: RNAcentral
AUUCCAGCUCCAAUAGCGUAUAUUAAAGUUGUUGCAGUUAAAAAGCACGUAGUCGAACCUUGGACGCGGAUUUCCGGUCUGCCGAAAGGCAUGUACUGGCAAGCCGCGUCUUCCUUCUGGGGACUGUCGUUUUGCGGCAGAUAACCAGGACUUUUACUUUGAAAAAAUUAGAGUGUUUAAGGCAGGCAGUCGCUUGAAUACAUUAGCAUGGAAUAAUGGAAUAGGACUUUGGUUUUAUUUUGUUGGUUUCUAGGACCAAAGUAAUGAUUAAUAGGGACAGUUGGGGGCACUAGUAUUGAGCUGUCAGAGGUGAAAUUCUUGGAUUUGCUCAAGACUAACAACUGCGAAAGCAUCUGCCAAGGAUGUUUUCAUCA